RNAcentral lists this ribosomal RNA (195 nucleotides) under Triticum aestivum (bread wheat). RNAcentral describes it as "partial small subunit ribosomal RNA". The record is from RNAcentral. Lineage: Eukaryota; Viridiplantae; Streptophyta; Magnoliopsida; Poales; Poaceae.
AUGACAAAUCUUUAUGAGAUACAACAUAAGUGGGCAAAGCCGUAUUUCAAAAGUCUCUUCUGCGCCAAAAUGACGAGCACACAGCGUAGCGAGAGUGCAAACAAUAUGUUGAAGAUUUACAUGCCGCCAGCAAAGCCCAAUGCAUGUGUUCGUGCGACAAUACAUGAGGCUUCAAUUCGACCGAGAAUCGGAUGA